GUCCUAUCCUGGCAGGGGAGGCACCAUGAUCAGGCAGGUGGUUUUCCCUUACACUCCGGGUAUGCUGAUCCCUGCAAUUUCCCCAAAUGUGGGAAACUUGAAUGUAUAAUUUGUGGUAGUGGGGGACUGCAUUUGUGCUCUCCCCUG
Molecule: small nuclear RNA, 147 nt
Organism: Cairina moschata (Muscovy duck)
Lineage: Eukaryota; Metazoa; Chordata; Aves; Anseriformes; Anatidae
Gene: U1
Rfam family: U1 spliceosomal RNA
About the family: U1 is a small nuclear RNA (snRNA) component of the spliceosome (involved in pre-mRNA splicing). Its 5' end forms complementary base pairs with the 5' splice junction, thus defining the 5' donor site of an intron.
Source: Ensembl